Long non-coding RNA from Daucus carota subsp. sativus, 1392 nucleotides. RefSeq lists it as uncharacterized. The record is from RefSeq and is a predicted model, not a curated record. NCBI's taxonomy places the organism in Eukaryota, Viridiplantae, Streptophyta, Magnoliopsida, Apiales, Apiaceae. The transcript is spliced from 3 exons.
UCUUCUUCGCCUCCCCAUUGAAAUUAAGCGAUCAUCCAUCGAUUGCUUCCAUCUGUCCGCUGGCUCAAUCGGUUCCUCUGCUUUUUGUGUUUUCCUUUUUCCACUCAACUCGCCGACCCAUUUCCGGUUCUUGCCCAGACAGUUGCUGGCUGCUCUAACCAGUAACCACAACAGUGUCGGAGAAACAGCUAUAAGAGAUACAUUGGUACAAGUUAUGAACGAGGCCUUUUUGAAAUCAGGAUCAAAGAAAUCAGCUGUUCGAGCUCUUUGUUUAGGUGUAUCUUGUGUCAAUCAUCCAGACCAUCAGGAAAGGAUAUUAAAUUGGUUGAGGAUGUUGAAAACUCACGUGAUGACUUCAAGGGAACGCAUGCCUGAUGCAAUUUCUAUUGACAAGUAUCAGCAAGGGGAGAACCCAGAUCCUGUGUUUCAUGACCCGGUGUCCAACCAAAAGGAUAUCCCUCCCUCUGGAGUGCAUGACAAGGAAGAGCAAGGUAACCUGAAACAGUGACAAAACACAUAUGAAGCUGGGGCAUCAGAAGUCAGUCAAGAAGUCAGCAUCAAUCUGGUGGAGUCGGAGAAGUUGCCAAAUAAUUUAAACCAGUACAAAGCCUUGAUGAUGUAACAGAUGCAUCAUAGUCAAACCAAGAUGGAAGCUCUAUAUCUAUGGUGCACGAGACAGAGCCAGUCAGUUUGUAUCAAGGGCAUAGCUAUGAUAGUGCUACACGAGCACUGAAAUCUUGUCCUGAAGGAAGUUAUCUCCCCACAAUUCUGAGUUAGAGUUGGACAAUUCGCUACCACACAGAGCCUUGGUACUAUUAUUUUGACCUCAAAAACUGCUGAACAAGGAACGGCUCUUUCUUCUGUGCCUGAAAUUGUGCAGGACGCAUUGCAGCAAAAUCAGGAUCCUGAUAGAUAUCUCCCUGUUUCAAAGUCUGAUCAAGAUAAGUCUAGUUUAUCCAUAAUGCAGGAAAAAGUUCUGGAAAAAUUACCCCUCCGUAGGAACCCUGAAGUGGCACAGGUGUUUGAGGACUUUGUUGAGGUUUACAAUGUUCAUGGUUACCCCGACAAUUAAUAUGAGUUAUAUUACCUCAUGAGUUCGUUCCAUUUGUUUUUUAGCUGGGCAACUUAAAAAUGUGCAUUUGUAAUAAGUCCGAACGAAUUGAUUUCCUCUGACAAUUUUCUGCCCAUACUUUCUUCAGUUAUGUCCAUCUUCUGAUGGUUUUUCAGGCAUUUUACUACGAGGUCUCCCUUCCUGAACAGACUGUAAUGCUUGCACCCUGAUAUCGGCAGGUUCCUUUUUAAAAAGAAAAGACCUGAACCUUUAGCUUAUAGAAUAGAUUUAUUGCUCAAUUCUCUUACAAUUACAUGCAAGCAUUUUGUUAUUUUACACCA